This 253-nucleotide ribosomal RNA is filed under the name uncultured prokaryote. Its description in RNAcentral is "partial 16S ribosomal RNA". It matches the Rfam family "Bacterial small subunit ribosomal RNA", at positions 524 to 776 of the family's 1533-position model. The record is from RNAcentral.
UACGGGGGGUGCAAGCGUUAAUCGGAAUUACUGGGCGUAAAGGGUGCGUAGGUGGUUUGAUAAGUUAGCUGUGAAAUUCCUGGGCUCAACCUAGGGUGGUCAGCUAAGACUGUUAGACUUGAGUAUGGGAGAGGGUAGUGGAAUUUCCGGUGUAGCGGUGAAAUGCGUAGAGAUCGGAAGGAACACCAGUGGCGAAGGCGGCUACCUGGCCUAAUACUGACACUGAGGCACGAAAGCGUGGGGAGCAAACAGG